GUCCCUUCGGGGACAUCCAAUAAAGUUGGAAGGAUACAGAGAAGAUUAGCAUGGCCCUGCGCAAGGAUGACACGCACAAAUCGAGAAAAAAAUGGUCCAAACUUUG
This 106-nucleotide small nuclear RNA is filed under the name Marchantia polymorpha subsp. ruderalis. The record is from RNAcentral. Lineage: Eukaryota; Viridiplantae; Streptophyta; Marchantiopsida; Marchantiales; Marchantiaceae.